AGGGCACCACCAGGAGUGGAGCCUGCGGCUUAAUUUGACUCAACACGGGGAAACUUACCCGGCCUGGACACUGGAAGGAUUGACAGAUUGAGAGCUCUUUCUUGAUUCAGUGGGUGGUGGUGCAUGGCCGUUCUUAGUUGGUGGAGCGAUUUGUCUGGUUAAUUCCGGUAACGAACGAGACUCUAGCCUAUUAAAUAGGCUCCCGGCUUUUAAACGCCGGGAGGACUUCUUAGAGGGACAGGUGGCGGUUCAGCCGCACGAAAGAGAGCAAUAACAGGUCUGUGAUGCCCUUUGUUGUCCAGGGCCGCACGCGCGCUACACUGAAGAGAUCAGCGUGCUUUAUGUUCCUGCUCCGACCGGAGUGGGGAACCCAGUGAACCUUCUUCGUGAUUGGGAUAGAAGAUUGUAAUUAUUCUUCUUGAACGAGGAAUUCCCAGUAAAUGCGAGUCAUAAGCUCGCGUUGAUUACGUCCCUGCCCUUUGUACACACCGCCCGUCGCUACUACCGAUUGAACGAUUU
RNAcentral lists this ribosomal RNA (519 nucleotides) under uncultured eukaryote. Its description in RNAcentral is "SSU rRNA". It matches the Rfam family "Eukaryotic small subunit ribosomal RNA", at positions 1161 to 1699 of the family's 1831-position model. The record is from RNAcentral.